RNAcentral lists this long non-coding RNA (1080 nucleotides) under Rhinopithecus bieti (black snub-nosed monkey). Its description in RNAcentral is "lncRNA (ENSRBIG00000045963.1)". Lineage: Eukaryota; Metazoa; Chordata; Mammalia; Primates; Cercopithecidae. The record is from RNAcentral.
AUGGAGAGAGACCUAAAAUUAGUUUCAGUAACAAAAUAUCAGAUACGAAAAUUGUCAGAUGUGCUACAACUAGAGUUAAUAUUAAGACCAGAGCAUCAGACUCAGUUUGACCAAGUCUUUGACAAUUAUCCUGACCAGGAGAAGACCGCUGAUCUUAGAAACAGGUAUCAGGCUUUGUAGUCUGCUGUGUUUUGUUUGUGUAGUUAGGUUUUACCUUAACUGUAGAUUUACCUUAUUGCAUGUGUGUAUUAUUGCUGUUGGAUAAUGUGAACAUUAUGAAUGCAUUUACAUCUGUGUUCUUACUCUCUGUAUACCACUUCCUAGAGAGGCAACCAUGUGCUGAAUUUAGCCAGUCCCGCAUUUUUCUAUACCUUAAGUCAAACUGGGCAAUGCUUCCCAUCUACCCACAGUGAAUAGGGGUCCUUUGAUUUAGAAUAGGUAGAGCUGACUGAAUUCUGAACAAACAAAUAUUUUGUGAGGAACAUUAUUUUUCAUUUUAAAUAUAAAUGCCUAAUACUGUGUAUUCAUUUACCCUUUAUAUCUCUGUACAUGCUUAUCUUUUGUUAAACCUUAGAGAAAUGACCCACCAUCAAUGAAAAGAAAGAAAGGCGUAGGCCAGGCGUGGUGGCUCACACCUGUAAUCCCAGCAAUUUAGAGGGCCGAGGCAGGCAGAUCACGAGGUUAGGAGUUCAAGACCAGCCUGUCUAACAUGGUGAAAUCCCGUCUCUACUAAAAAUACAAAAAUUAGCCAGAUGUGGUGGUGAGCGCCUGCAGUCCCAGCUACUCAGGAGGCUGAGGCAGGAGAAUUGCUUGAAUCUGGGAGGCGGAGGUUGCAGUGAGCUAAGAUCGUGCCACUGCACCCUAUACCUUAAAAUGGUAGAUUAUCUGUGGCCAUUUGAAAUUACUGAUUUGAAGUUCUUGAAGAUGCCGAGCCAUGUCUUACAUAGUUAUUUUAGAAUCUAAAAUUGUUCUGUAUUUACAUAAAGUUUCUAUUCUUUCUCUCCUUUAAACCCUGAAAGUGGUAGUUGCAAAGGAGGAGCCAGAUAUUUGGCAUGGCCUGACAAAAAUUAACUUGUCUUU